CGCGACAGUUCAACUCCUCAAACCGGUGCCAAAAGCCCCAUUAUGAGCGGGUUUGGUUGCCGUUUUGAGGUGUUGACGAGC
Molecule: microRNA precursor, 81 nt
Filed under: Haemonchus contortus (barber pole worm)
Lineage: Eukaryota; Metazoa; Nematoda; Chromadorea; Rhabditida; Trichostrongylidae
Description: microRNA hco-mir-5919 precursor
Source: miRBase by way of RNAcentral